GUCUAUGGCCAUACCACCCUGAACACACCCGAUUUUGUCUGAUCUAGGAAGCUAAGCAGGGUUGGGGCUGGUUAGUACUUGGAUGGGAGAAGGUAAGAUGCUUGCUUUGUAGGGG
Molecule: ribosomal RNA, 115 nt
Filed under: Sorex araneus (European shrew)
Lineage: Eukaryota; Metazoa; Chordata; Mammalia; Eulipotyphla; Soricidae
Source: RNAcentral